Molecule: ribosomal RNA, 263 nt
Filed under: uncultured bacterium
Lineage: Bacteria
Description: partial 16S ribosomal RNA
Rfam family: Bacterial small subunit ribosomal RNA
Source: RNAcentral
GUCCACGCCCUAAACUAUGGAUACUAAGUGUCGGCGGGUUACCGCCGGUGCCGCAGCUAACGCAUUAAGUAUCCCGCCUGGGAAGUACGGCCGCAAGGUUGAAACUCAAAGGAAUUGACGGGGGCCCGCACAAGCGGUGGAGCAUGUGGUUUAAUUCGACGCAACGCGAAGAACCUUACCCAGGUUGGACAUGCACGUAGUAGAAAGGUGAAAGCCUGACGAGGUAGCAAUACCAGCGUGCUCAGGUGCUGCAUGGCUGUCGU